UAUCGUACUGUAAACACUCCCACUUCUGUUCAUCUCUGAUGGAUCAUCCUACAAGUGUUAAUGCCGCUGGAUAUGUCCAACUAACUUAAAGAUUGCGGGACACGCAACGGAGAGCUGCAGUUAAUGAUCAACGCCAGAAACUCACGGGCACCUUGAUGAGAGUCAACUACGAGUUUACUCGAUAGAAGAGAGUGGUGCAUGCCGUCGUCAGCUCUACCGUAAGGCGUUCACUUAAGUGUGAUAACGAGCGAGACCCCAUCUUCAUUGCCAGCGUACAAGGGAUUGUGCGGCACUUUGGAGGGACCGCCAGCGCUAAGCUGGAGGAAGGAGGGUCGACGGCAGGUCAGUAUGCCCCGAAUCUCCCGGGCUACACGCGCGCUACAAAGGACAGGACAAUGAGUUGCGACCUCGAAAGGGAAGCCAACCUCGAAACCUUGUUCGUAGUGAGGAUUG
RNAcentral lists this ribosomal RNA (453 nucleotides) under uncultured archaeon. Its description in RNAcentral is "bacterial SSU rRNA". The stretch from base 95 to 453 matches the Rfam family "Archaeal small subunit ribosomal RNA", at positions 876 to 1256 of the family's 1478-position model. The record is from RNAcentral.